Molecule: long non-coding RNA, 1100 nt
Filed under: Amborella trichopoda
Lineage: Eukaryota; Viridiplantae; Streptophyta; Magnoliopsida; Amborellales; Amborellaceae
Description: long non-coding RNA (ATRI_LNC002803)
Source: RNAcentral
CUCCCCACACCUAAAAGCAACACGUAAAUCUAGUUCUCCUUAUUAUUAUCUAACAUGUAACACCACCCAAAAGAAAUCAUAAAAAAAAAAGGGUUGAGGAACAGAGAGAGAUAAAAGGAUUCGACAAUGUAUGAGGGCAAUCUAGAAGAAAGAGUUUCUAGAAUCAUAGCUCUCCCGCACUGUGUAAGUGCGGUCAGGCAGUAGAACACUCUAGAGUCACAGGGCUCCGGUACUGUGUAAGUAUGGUUCAACAGUGGAAUACUCUAGAGUCACGCUCCGCCACUGUAAGCAAGGGCUUUGGCAUUGUGUAAGUGCGUUUCGGAACACUAUAGAGUCACAAGGCCCCGACAUUGUUUAAGUACAGUUUGGCAAUGGAUUAAGCGCUCCGACAUUGUGUAAGUACACUCUAACAGGCACUCCGGCAUUGUCUAAGUGUGGUCUGACAGUGGAAUACUUUGGAGUCACAAAGCUCCGACACUGUGUAAGUGUGAUAUGAUAGUGGAACAUUUUGGAGUUAGUCAGACAAAGUUUAUAGAAUAUUGGGUUCGACAAUGCGAUGGUGUGCUCCCCCGACACUAUGUAAGUCCAUUCUGACAAGGUUUCUAAAAUAUUGGGUUCGGUAAUGCGAUGGUCUGCUUCGGCAAUGUGUUACUAAGGUCUAAAAGUCAAUGUCAAAUCUGGCCAAAUUGAUUUUUAUGUACAAGAAAGGUAUUUCCAUCUAAAAUGUUGUUUUAAUGUUGAAUAAACCCUUUAAACGAUCAUCACAUUGAGAUGUAUGAAUAUGACAAUAAAAAAAGGUUUUUGAAUUUCAAAAAUAAGUAUAUCUUGCAACACAUUAUCUAGACCAUCCAUUUUCAAGAUUUUCAUAUAUUUAUAAAUCUACUUGAUUUUAACCAUUUUUGAAAUUUAAAAUUUUCUAAUUAGAUAUAAAAAUAGAUUUUCGGAUAAUACUAAAAAGUUUUUAUAACAAAAUUACAUGUUACGAUUAAAUUUUAAGGUGCGAGAUUGUUUGAGGUUGCAUCCUAUAGAAACAACACGCUUUUUUGAAAUUGCAAAGAUUUAGUAUUUUCAAUUCCCAAUUUUCAAUUUUGUUUGAACCU